GAACGGCAGCGCGGGAGCAAUCCUGGCGGCGAGUGGCGAACGGGUGAGUAAUACAUCGGAACAUGUCCAGUAGUGGGGGAUAGCCCGGCGAAAGCCGGAUUAAUACCGCAUACGAUCUACGGAUGAAAGCGGGGGAUCUUCGGACCUCGCGCUAUUGGGGUGGCCGAUGGCGGAUUAGCUAGUUGGUGGGGUAAAGGCCUACCAAGGCGACGAUCCGUAGCUGGUCUGAGAGGACGACCAGCCACACUGGGACUGAGACACGGCCCAGACUCCUACGGGAGGCAGCAGUGGGGAAUUUUGGACAAUGGGCGAAAGCCUGAUCCAGCAAUGCCGCGUGUGUGAAGAAGGCCUUCGGGUUGUAAAGCACUUUUGUCCGGAAAGAAAUCCUGGUGGCUAAUAUCCGCCGGGGAUGACGGUACCGGAAGAAUAAGCACCGGCUAACUACGUG
RNAcentral lists this ribosomal RNA (448 nucleotides) under uncultured bacterium. Its description in RNAcentral is "bacterial SSU rRNA". It matches the Rfam family "Bacterial small subunit ribosomal RNA", at positions 64 to 507 of the family's 1533-position model. The record is from RNAcentral.